GUGGGGAAUCUUCCGCAAUGGACGAAAGUCUGACGGAGCGACGCCGCGUGAGUGAAGAAAUCCUUCGGGAUGUAAAGCCCUGUUGUAUGGGAAGAGCGGAAGACGGUACCAUACGAGGAAGCCCCGGCAAACUACGUGCCAGCAGCCGCGGUAAUACGUAGGGGGCAAGCGUUGCUCGGAAUCACUGGGCGUAAAGCGCACGUAGGCGGCUUUCUAAGUCAGGGGUGAAAUCCUGGAGCUCAACUCCAGAACUGCCUGUGAUCCUGGAGAGCUUGAGUUCGGGAGAGGUGAGUGGAACUGCGAGUGUAGAGGUGAAAUUCGUAGAUAUUCGCAAGAACACCAGUGGCGAAGGCGGCUCACUGGCCCGAUACUGACGCUGAGGUGCGAAAGCGUGGGGAGCAAACAGGAUUAGAUACCCGAGUAGUCC
Molecule: ribosomal RNA, 427 nt
Filed under: uncultured bacterium
Lineage: Bacteria
Description: partial 16S ribosomal RNA
Rfam family: Bacterial small subunit ribosomal RNA
Source: RNAcentral